RNAcentral lists this ribosomal RNA (2797 nucleotides) under Escherichia coli. RNAcentral's name for it is "partial 23S ribosomal RNA". It matches the Rfam family "Bacterial large subunit ribosomal RNA". Lineage: Bacteria; Pseudomonadati; Pseudomonadota; Gammaproteobacteria; Enterobacterales; Enterobacteriaceae. The record is from RNAcentral.
GGUUAAGCGACUAAGCGUACACGGUGGAUGCCCUGGCAGUCAGAGGCGAUGAAGGACGUGCUAAUCUGCGAUAAGCGUCGGUGAGGUGAUAUGAACCGUUAUAACCGGCGAUUUCCGAAUGGGGAAACCCAGUGUGUUUCGACACACUAUCAUUAACUGAAUCCAUAGGUUAAUGAGGCGAACCGGGGGAACUGAAACAUCUAAGUACCCCGAGGAAAAGAAAUCAACCGAGAUUCCCCCAGUAGCGGCGAGCGAACGGGGAGGAGCCCAGAGCCUGAAUCAGUGUGUGUGUUAGUGGAAGCGUCUGGAAAGGCGCGCGAUACAGGGUGACAGCCCCGUACACAAAAAUGCACAUAUUGUGAGCUCGAUGAGUAGGGCGGGACACGUGGUAUCCUGUCUGAAUAUGGGGGGACCAUCCUCCAAGGCUAAAUACUCCUGACUGACCGAUAGUGAACCAGUACCGUGAGGGAAAGGCGAAAAGAACCCCGGCGAGGGGAGUGAAAAAGAACCUGAAACCGUGUACGUACAAGCAGUGGGAGCCUCUUUAUGGGGUGACUGCGUACCUUUUGUAUAAUGGGUCAGCGACUUAUAUUCUGUAGCAAGGUUAACCGAAUAGGGGAGCCGAAGGGAAACCGAGUCUUAACUGGGCGUUAAGUUGCAGGGUAUAGACCCGAAACCCGGUGAUCUAGCCAUGGGCAGGUUGAAGGUUGGGUAACACUAACUGGAGGACCGAACCGACUAAUGUUGAAAAAUUAGCGGAUGACUUGUGGCUGGGGGUGAAAGGCCAAUCAAACCGGGAGAUAGCUGGUUCUCCCCGAAAGCUAUUUAGGUAGCGCCUCGUGAAUUCAUCUCCGGGGGUAGAGCACUGUUUCGGCAAGGGGGUCAUCCCGACUUACCAACCCGAUGCAAACUGCGAAUACCGGAGAAUGUUAUCACGGGAGACACACGGCGGGUGCUAACGUCCGUCGUGAAGAGGGAAACAACCCAGACCGCCAGCUAAGGUCCCAAAGUCAUGGUUAAGUGGGAAACGAUGUGGGAAGGCCCAGACAGCCAGGAUGUUGGCUUAGAAGCAGCCAUCAUUUAAAGAAAGCGUAAUAGCUCACUGGUCGAGUCGGCCUGCGCGGAAGAUGUAACGGGGCUAAACCAUGCACCGAAGCUGCGGCAGCGACACUAUGUGUUGUUGGGUAGGGGAGCGUUCUGUAAGCCUGUGAAGGUGGCCUGUGAGGGUUGCUGGAGGUAUCAGAAGUGCGAAUGCUGACAUAAGUAACGAUAAAGCGGGUGAAAAGCCCGCUCGCCGGAAGACCAAGGGUUCCUGUCCAACGUUAAUCGGGGCAGGGUGAGUCGACCCCUAAGGCGAGGCCGAAAGGCGUAGUCGAUGGGAAACAGGUUAAUAUUCCUGUACUUGGUGUUACUGCGAAGGGGGGACGGAGAAGGCUAUGUUGGCCGGGCGACGGUUGUCCCGGUUUAAGCGUGUAGGCUGGUUUUCCAGGCAAAUCCGGAAAACCAAGGCUGAGGCGUGAUGACGAGGCACUACGGUGCUGAAGCGACAAAUGCCCUGCUUCCAGGAAAAGCCUCUAAGCAUCAGGUAACAUCAAAUCGUACCCCAAACCGACACAGGUGGUCAGGUAGAGAAUACCAAGGCGCUUGAGAGAACUCGGGUGAAGGAACUAGGCAAAAUGGUGCCGUAACUUCGGGAGAAGGCACGCUGAUAUGUAGGUGAAGCGACUUGCUCGUGGAGCUGAAAUCAGUCGAAGAUACCAGCUGGCUGCAACUGUUUAUUAAAAACACAGCACUGUGCAAACACGAAAGUGGACGUAUACGGUGUGACGCCUGCCCGGUGCCGGAAGGUUAAUUGAUGGGGUUAGCGGUAACGCGAAGCUCUUGAUCGAAGCCCCGGUAAACGGCGGCCGUAACUAUAACGGUCCUAAGGUAGCGAAAUUCCUUGUCGGGUAAGUUCCGACCUGCACGAAUGGCGUAAUGAUGGCCAGGCUGUCUCCACCCGAGACUCAGUGAAAUUGAACUCGCUGUGAAGAUGCAGUGUACCCGCGGCAAGACGGAAAGACCCCGUGAACCUUUACUAUAGCUUGACACUGAACAUUGAGCCUUGAUGUGUAGGAUAGGUGGGAGGCUUUGAAGUGUGGACGCCAGUCUGCAUGGAGCCGACCUUGAAAUACCACCCUUUAAUGUUUGAUGUUCUAACGUUGGCCCGUAAUCCGGGUUGCGGACAGUGUCUGGUGGGUAGUUUGACUGGGGCGGUCUCCUCCUAAAGAGUAACGGAGGAGCACGAAGGUUGGCUAAUCCUGGUCGGACAUCAGGAGGUUAGUGCAAUGGCAUAAGCCAGCUUGACUGCGAGCGUGACGGCGCGAGCAGGUGCGAAAGCAGGUCAUAGUGAUCCGGUGGUUCUGAAUGGAAGGGCCAUCGCUCAACGGAUAAAAGGUACUCCGGGGAUAACAGGCUGAUACCGCCCAAGAGUUCAUAUCGACGGCGGUGUUUGGCACCUCGAUGUCGGCUCAUCACAUCCUGGGGCUGAAGUAGGUCCCAAGGGUAUGGCUGUUCGCCAUUUAAAGUGGUACGCGAGCUGGGUUUAGAACGUCGUGAGACAGUUCGGUCCCUAUCUGCCGUGGGCGCUGGAGAACUGAGGGGGGCUGCUCCUAGUACGAGAGGACCGGAGUGGACGCAUCACUGGUGUUCGGGUUGUCAUGCCAAUGGCACUGCCCGGUAGCUAAAUGCGGAAGAGAUAAGUGCUGAAAGCAUCUAAGCACGAAACUUGCCCCGAGAUGAGUUCUCCCUGACUCCU